RNAcentral lists this long non-coding RNA (344 nucleotides) under Bos indicus x Bos taurus (hybrid cattle). Its description in RNAcentral is "lncRNA (ENSBIXG00005018831.1)". The record is from RNAcentral. Lineage: Eukaryota; Metazoa; Chordata; Mammalia; Artiodactyla; Bovidae.
GGGAUUUCUCGGCGCUCUCCUGACCAAACCCCCAAGGAAAAUCAGCUUCUCGAUUACCUCCACCCAGCUCUGGCUUCCGUGGACGCCAAUUCCCUCUUCCUGGGCUCGGCUAUCAAGUCACCACACCUCACGCCGUCGCGGGGAGGCAGGCAGGUGCGGGUUCCCGCGCCCCCGGGGGCGGUGCCGGGAAGGCGCGAGGCCCCGGGCGCGCGCGCGCGCGCGGACCUUGCGAGUUCAGUCUCCGGCGUGACCCCUCUAGCGCCUCGAGACCCUACCCCGGCUCGCCAUUCUGGGGUCUCGUGCUGUGGGCCGGGCGCCCACCGGAAACGAAAGGACGGCUUCCG